This 492-nucleotide ribosomal RNA is filed under the name uncultured bacterium. RNAcentral's name for it is "partial 16S ribosomal RNA". It matches the Rfam family "Bacterial small subunit ribosomal RNA", at positions 29 to 507 of the family's 1533-position model. The record is from RNAcentral.
AGUGAACGCUGGCGGUAGGCCUAACACAUGCAAGUCGAACGGCAGCACAGUAAGAGCUUGCUCUUACGGGUGGCGAGUGGCGGACGGGUGAGGAAUACAUCGGAAUCUACUUUUUCGUGGGGGAUAACGUGGGGAAACUUACGCUAAUACCGCAUACGACCUACGGGUGAAAGCAGGGGAUCUUCGGACCUUGCGCGAUUGAAUGAGCCGAUGUCGGAUUAGCUAGUUGGCGGGGUAAAGGCCCACCAAGGCGACGAUCCGUAGCUGGUCUGAGAGGAUGAUCAGCCACACUGGAACUGAGACACGGUCCAGACUCCUACGGGAGGCAGCAGUGGGGAAUAUUGGACAAUGGGCGCAAGCCUGAUCAAGCCAUACCGCGUGGGUGAAGAAGGCCUUCGGGUUGUAAAGCACUUUUGUUGGGAAAGAAAAGCAGCAGGUUAAUACCCCGCUGUUCUGACGGUACCCAAAGAAUAAGCACCGGCUAACUUCGUG